GCGGGUAAUUGCUCAGACAGAGGGAGAGACCGACCGCUUGAUCACUCGUGAAUGAACGAAAGCACAAUUGAAAGGAAAGCAUGAUGUAUUGAAACUUA
Long non-coding RNA from Neltuma alba, 98 nucleotides. RefSeq lists it as uncharacterized. The transcript has 3 exons. The record is from RefSeq and is a predicted model, not a curated record. NCBI's taxonomy places the organism in Eukaryota, Viridiplantae, Streptophyta, Magnoliopsida, Fabales, Fabaceae.